UGAAUCGGCUUGUAAGCUCGCGCGAGCGUAGGGUCACGUGAUUUUCCGUGAUGGAACAGUACAAAGACCGUUUCUCAAUGCAGCCUCCGGAGGUCGCAUAUGCAGGCUGCAUACGUCUUCAAGCCUGGUUUGUUUAAGUUAACUGAGCAUUACAUUCGUAAGUCAUAAGCAUAUUACAACAAUUUACGAUUAACUUAAAAUAAUAGUCAUCUUUAGAAUUGUUAAUAUUCUGAAUUAAGUCUUUAUGACGUAUGCAUCCUACAAAUGCGACCUCCGUACAAGAGCUGACUGACACGCAUCCAUAUCUACGCAUGUGCAAUGCUUUUCGACUUUCCCGCCCAUAUAGUCAUCUUUAUGGAUUUGUCUGCACACAACGGAAUAUGUUCCAAGGUAAAGUAUUACUUUAUCAACUUGUGAUUUACUUGUUAACUUGUAUAUUAUCAUAAACAACUUAUAUUUACUUUAUAUUAAACCGUUUGUGUGUGUGAACAUUAAUUUGCUGGAGCAUUUGCACUGCACAUUUCACUAUUAAAGAGGAAUAUGAAUAUUUCUUAUUUAACAAAAAAUAUCAACGUUAAGUAAAUAUCUUUUAACAUAAAAACACGAAGUAUAGAUAAAUUGUAGCAUACGUGUAAGUUGAUAUUAAGGUAACUGUCUGUGUUUUUACCUCAGGUAAACUCAGCAAGCUUUCUAAGUUACUUCAGAUGCUGGCGAUAAGUCUUGAGGUCUGAACAAUUUUACAGGUAAAACUGAGUUACAUUUUAAAAUAUGCUUUAACUUUUAGUGAAUUACAAGACUGCCAUGGUAAUGUUUAUUUUGACCCUCAAAUUCAUAGGACACCACCAUGGCUGAAAGCAAAGCGGCUCAAUUCUUUAAUGGAGGACAGCAGAGAUGUUGCACAGUAAGGGCAAGAACACAGUACAAAGACACAAGAAAUCCUCGACCCUGAGGACAAUGAGACAAACAGACCCAGUUCCUGCUGCUGUGAAGGUCAUCACACCACUGAUCUACUGACCGUCCUUCUACGAGAUGCCCGGCCAAUGCCUGACCAGCAACCACCGGCGGAACCAGUUUAAUUCGCUUACCCAUUCACAUACCCCGAUAGUAUUUAUAUAUAUAAAUAAAUAUGUAUCUCUCUCAAGGGUUUUUCCCUGGACUAGCCAGGAGGGUUUUUCUCCUAGGGGUUUUUUCAUCCCCUGGUGAGUCCACCACCUUUGGCUUAACCUACUACUUUACUGUAUAUGUUACAUUAUUACUAUGCUCGCUUUUCUAUGCUUUUUUUACAUUUAUUAAUGUAAAGCUGCUUUGAAACAAUUGGCAAUUGUCAAAAGCGCUACAUAAAUAAAAUUGAAUUCAAUAUUUAAUGUUAUAUUUAAUUAGACUCAGUGUAUAUUU
Paramisgurnus dabryanus is the source of this 1395-nucleotide long non-coding RNA. RefSeq lists it as uncharacterized. NCBI's taxonomy places the organism in Eukaryota, Metazoa, Chordata, Actinopteri, Cypriniformes, Cobitidae. The record is from RefSeq and is a predicted model, not a curated record.